UGAGCUUCAUGGCAGAAGCCUCUCCUCAGUGAAAGACACAGCCUGCUUGGAGAUGGCAAACAAGCACAUUAGCACUCUGAGUCUCAGACUCUCAGGAACAAGAUUCUCUGGUGUGAUGAAGCCAAGACUGAACAACAGGACAAUGACCCUAAGCACACACAGCCAGGACAAUGCAGGAGUGGCUUAAACCCCAUGCAGACGAAGCCUAGUUUGCCUGAACCCGGGUUCAUUUUUCACACAUAUCAACUUUUUAAAUCGCGUGCACAUGAACCCAGCGAAUCCGAUUGACUCAGCUGUAGUACAUCCCCCACGCCUGUUGAAGAAGACAGGAGCAUGCUAUCAAAGUAACAUAUGACAGUAGUUGAGCUCCAACUAGCAACGUUUAGCUUAGCCGCAUAGCCUACAUUUAAUCUGCACAGUAACACAUUAUGGUGGUUUAUAAAAUCAGUGGUAAGAGCAGACUGUAGGUUAAGCGAAAAAUAAUUAUAUUUGUUAUUGAUAAAAAAGAGUUUAGAACAGUGCAACAAAGCAAUGUGCAACAUGACAUGUCUGAGUUGUUUAAAUGCCUGUGCUUUAUGGAGAUGCUGAGCUUGAGCACGAGAGACCACAAUGCAAGUGCUGUGGAUCCUGGAUGUUUCUUGGUUUACAAUUGCUUCCAAUUUCAUGGUUUUAUUACUAACAACAAAUGUAGGCUAUUGUUGAGGGCUUUGUCCUUCACGUACUGUAGGCUACCUCUGAAGUAAAGUUAACGCUAGCUAGUAGCGAUCGCUAUCGUUGUCUGACAGGACUAAAGCUAACGUAACAUUCAUCUGUUUUGAAACUUCCGUCUAUAAUAAAAAAUCUUUUCACGUCAGAUUUGCUCAUAUAGGCUAUUGUUGACACUUUUAAAAACUGGUUUUUGAAAAAUGGUCUGAUGCAAAUAGAUUAAACAGUGAUAGAUUAAAGUGUGGCUUGUUAAUGUCAUCCCUUUCCUAACAACAGAUAGAUAGAUACAUUUGUAUUAAUCCCGUUAGGGAAAUUCACGUGGAAAAGCAGCAAGGUAAUAGGAAGAUUUUUUUUUUUUUAAACUGG
Molecule: long non-coding RNA, 1071 nt
Organism: Clupea harengus (Atlantic herring)
Lineage: Eukaryota; Metazoa; Chordata; Actinopteri; Clupeiformes; Clupeidae
Source: Ensembl